This is a long non-coding RNA of Centropristis striata (black sea bass), 335 nucleotides long. RefSeq lists it as uncharacterized. The record is from RefSeq and is a predicted model, not a curated record. The transcript has 2 exons. Lineage: Eukaryota; Metazoa; Chordata; Actinopteri; Perciformes; Serranidae.
ACAAAUCAGAUUUUCCUCCUUGUUUGGUCACAGGUAAACUACCUUUUCCUGAAUAAAGCGGUCCUUGUCACUGUUCUCACCGAGCAAAUGUGCAUUUUAGUAUUUUAUCGAGUACAAUGCUAUACAAGUCUCAGUCUCAGACUUUGAACCUCGUGAUAUCUGUACUCUGACGCACUCACGAUGCAGACUAUCUCCUGUGACGUUAUGUCUCUGAAGACAGCUUGCUGUUUAUCUCUGUCCUUGGACAAGAACGGACAAGAUGAGAUGCUGCUUUUAUAUCCAUCCAAAAUAAUGCGUAACGAUUACUUCAUUAUAAUAAAUGUAUAAAAACGGUC